CCUUGACUGCGUAAGCAGACACUAGCCAAGACAAGGAGAAUUACAUG
RNAcentral lists this non-coding RNA (47 nucleotides) under unclassified sequences. The record is from RNAcentral.